RNAcentral lists this ribosomal RNA (1460 nucleotides) under Streptococcus salivarius. RNAcentral's name for it is "bacterial SSU rRNA". It matches the Rfam family "Bacterial small subunit ribosomal RNA". Lineage: Bacteria; Bacillati; Bacillota; Bacilli; Lactobacillales; Streptococcaceae. The record is from RNAcentral.
UGCCGGGGGCGGCGUUGCCUAAUACAUGGCAAGUAGAACGCUGAAGAGAGGAGCUUGCUCUUCUUGGAUGAGUUGCGAACGGGUGAGUAACGCGUAGGUAACCUGCCUUGUAGCGGGGGAUAACUAUUGGAAACGAUAGCUAAUACCGCAUAACAAUGGAUGACACAUGUCAUUUAUUUGAAAGGGGCAAUUGCUCCACUACAAGAUGGACCUGCGUUGUAUUAGCUAGUAGGUGAGGUAACGGCUCACCUAGGCGACGAUACAUAGCCGACCUGAGAGGGUGAUCGGCCACACUGGGACUGAGACACGGCCCAGACUCCUACGGGAGGCAGCAGUAGGGAAUCUUCGGCAAUGGGGGCAACCCUGACCGAGCAACGCCGCGUGAGUGAAGAAGGUUUUCGGAUCGUAAAGCUCUGUUGUAAGUCAAGAACGAGUGUGAGAGUGGAAAGUUCACACUGUGACGGUAGCUUACCAGAAAGGGACGGCUAACUACGUGCCAGCAGCCGCGGUAAUACGUAGGUCCCGAGCGUUGUCCGGAUUUAUUGGGCGUAAAGCGAGCGCAGGCGGUUUGAUAAGUCUGAAGUUAAAGGCUGUGGCUCAACCAUAGUUCGCUUUGGAAACUGUCAAACUUGAGUGCAGAAGGGGAGAGUGGAAUUCCAUGUGUAGCGGUGAAAUGCGUAGAUAUAUGGAGGAACACCGGUGGCGAAAGCGGCUCUCUGGUCUGUAACUGACGCUGAGGCUCGAAAGCGUGGGGAGCGAACAGGAUUAGAUACCCUGGUAGUCCACGCCGUAAACGAUGAGUGCUAGGUGUUGGAUCCUUUCCGGGAUUCAGUGCCGCAGCUAACGCAUUAAGCACUCCGCCUGGGGAGUACGACCGCAAGGUUGAAACUCAAAGGAAUUGACGGGGGCCCGCACAAGCGGUGGAGCAUGUGGUUUAAUUCGAAGCAACGCGAAGAACCUUACCAGGUCUUGACAUCCCGAUGCUAUUUCUAGAGAUAGAAAGUUACUUCGGUACAUCGGUGACAGGUGGUGCAUGGUUGUCGUCAGCUCGUGUCGUGAGAUGUUGGGUUAAGUCCCGCAACGAGCGCAACCCCUAUUGUUAGUUGCCAUCAUUCAGUUGGGCACUCUAGCGAGACUGCCGGUAAUAAACCGGAGGAAGGUGGGGAUGACGUCAAAUCAUCAUGCCCCUUAUGACCUGGGCUACACACGUGCUACAAUGGUUGGUACAACGAGUUGCGAGUCGGUGACGGCAAGCUAAUCUCUUAAAGCCAAUCUCAGUUCGGAUUGUAGGCUGCAACUCGCCUACAUGAAGUCGGAAUCGCUAGUAAUCGCGGAUCAGCACGCCGCGGUGAAUACGUUCCCGGGCCUUGUACACACCGCCCGUCACACCACGAGAGUUUGUAACACCCGAAGUCGGUGAGGUAACCUUUUGGAGCCAGCCGCGUAAGGGUGGAUAAAGU